Molecule: long non-coding RNA, 15340 nt
Organism: Pseudopipra pipra
Lineage: Eukaryota; Metazoa; Chordata; Aves; Passeriformes; Pipridae
Exons: 4
Source: RefSeq, a predicted model, not a curated record
UUUAAGUGUGGGCAAGGCGGCCUCACUUUCCCCUAGUCUAGGCAGGGGGCUGGUGACCGGCUUGUUUUGGUUUAAUUUUUUUUUUAUUUUAUUUUUUGUUUCUUAAACGCGACAUUAGGUCUUUUGCAAACGCCGGCUGUUCGCGGCGGGGCCAGCCCACCUCCUCAGCGCUCUCUCUCCGUCGCCGGGAGGGCUGUGGUGACGCUGUUGUUGUUUCCCUGCGGAGGCUGUCGGCGUUCCUCCUGCCCGCGUCCAAGAUGGUGGCGGGCGGGCGCCGAGCCGUUGUCUCUGUGCGCGGCGGCCUUGCUGGGGGCUGGGGGCGUUUCUCUCCGGUGUUUCUGCCCAUUUCUCGUGUAUUAUCUUCCUUGCUGGAAGCCCAGGGUGUUGUGGAGCAGGGGUGUCGGCAGCCCUCCCCGUGAGGAAAUCCGCUCCCUUCCCCCGCUGCUGGGCCUGGCCCGUCGGUGCAGCACCCUCGGCAGCAAUAGAACUGGAGGAGAGGGAGGUUUUGCCCGCCUGAGGUGCGCUGUGAGGCCUGUGCUGGAGCCAGGGCGUGAUAGCGCGCGCCUGCCGUUGCUGAGGGAAGGCGUGUACGCACUGUGCCUUUGAGGGACACGAGUGUCCAUAAGGCCUUUGUGAAUGCAUGGAGGAAAUCUGCGAUGGGGAGAAGGCAAGUUGUUAAACGUGUGAGAACUCCCCAAAGACACCUUGAAAGUCUGGAUACAGCUGUUUUGUUGAACUAUGGCCACAGCAUCAAUGAGGUUUAUUUUUAAGAGUGAAAUGGAAAGUUGGAAACACUGGGUCGAAACCUUUCCCAGGAACAGUGGUCACUUCCUGAAGACAUGGGAGGAGGAAUCAAGUUAAGUGCUUCUCUGUAAUUACUAAUCUUUCAAAGUUGCAUAGUCUUUUGACUACUGCAUAGAAAAUGGGUAUACACCAAUCAAUGACUUAUGAGCAUGAAUCUCUGUCAACAGUUAUCAGAACCACCCAAACCACAUAUAAAGCCUGAUUAUUACUGUGAGCAGAAGUCCACACUUUGACUUCUGUGAGGGAUAGGUAUGUACAUCAAAGAGCAUGAUCAAACCUAAGAACUGAGAAAGACAAACAGCAAUUAAUGCUGCAUCUUUAUUACAGUGGACCCGGUAUGAUCUUGAUUUUACAUCUGAACUAGGCUUCUGCUGUACAUGCAUUACUCUUCUGGAAAAAGAAGUCAGCUCCUUCCUAUUUCUCGUCUUUCAAAGCCAGUGUUGCACAACCAAGCAUCCAGACGUUGUAAUUCACGCUGUAGAGCAUCCUACCCACUGAAAUGAAUGGGAACUCUAAUGAAACUAAGAUGUAAGGAUGGCAGCAUCUACCUUAGAGUAAAAAUGGAAAUGCCAACUAUUAAAAAAGGCCACAAUAUACAUGAAAGAAGAACCAUGAGUCCUACUAUUAUGGUAUCUAUUAAUCUUAAACUUUACAGCAUUAAAAUAUGGGAAGUUUUUAUUUGUUUGAAACACAGGCCGUCUUUUGAAAAAGAUAUGAGUAGAAAACAAACAGGUCGUAGUACACAUUCUCCUUUUCAUCUCCUUUUUCAUCUCCCACUGUUUUCUGUGCAGGAAAAACCAAUACAAUAUGGUCCAAUGUCUGUAAAUGAUAAAGCAAAAAGCAUUCCAUUAAUUUAUUUCUGAUUUAGUCUGGGUUAUAUUGUUUCAUACAUGUUUGAGACUCUUCAAGUUGCUUGGUUUAUGCAUGCAGCACAUAUAAAUAUUAACACUUGGAUAUUGCAGUAUUGCUUGAGCCUAUUGAACAUUUUUUAAAAAAUAAUUUCUAUAUUGAAAAAAAACUUCUUACAAUUAACUAUGACAAGGUGUAGAAUAUAGUUCUUAUAGAAAUCUAGUUGUGUUGAUAAACAGAAAUUGCAUAAAUACUGAGACACUGAAGUUCAACAGCCAACUUGUUAGAUGAAGAAAUGCCCAGUUCUACUGGAGAACACAUCGGAAAGACUUUCAAGUAGGGAGCUGUACUCUGAUUCCUGCAGCCAUUCUCAGCUUUGUCAGCAUGACGGCUAGAAUAGAGUAAAUUUAACACCAGAAGAGCUAUGGUCAGUCCCAUUUCAGCCUUGCCUACCUUCAGUGAAAAGGGAACCAGAACUACUAAAAUACAGAUGUGUGGUUUUCUGCCACCUUUGAUAUGGAGACAAAAAUUCCUGGGAGAGUGUCAGUGUGGUUAGUUAGGACCUGUAACCUCUUCAACUGCUGGUACUCAGUAGAGGUGAUCUGCCUGACUGACUCCAAAAGCAAUAGUCCAUUGUUUGAACCACCUUGUCUCUCUCCUGCACGGAGUUACCUCUUCUGUGGGACACCGAUCAAAUCCAGGUGAUGUUGCACUUGAAUAAAUGAGAAAUUUUUGUGAGGUCCAUUUCUCCUGUUCUGCUGGGAUGGCAUGAACUCACAGUGGGAAAUAGAGUCUCUUAAAUCAACAUUGAGAUUGAGGUCAUGAAUGUACCUUGGGUUACUUUCUCUUUGCUUUUACCAAAUGUUGUACGUGAUUACUUGGUAGAAAAUAAAUGAAGCAAAGAAAGAAAUGGGGAGAGAUAAGGCUGUUAGGUAAUCCAAUCAACUUUCCUGCUAGUACAGACUUACUUAGCUUGUUUAUUAGUAUGUUUCAAAUUAUUUUUUAAAUAACUAAAAGAAUUCCUCUGAAAAAUUUGCACAAGCUCUGCUCUUCACUGCCAAUAAGAUUUUCUGACAUUUGGUCUUUCCCCACCCUCUUUUCAUUUACUACUACUUGUUCCCAUAUGUAGAAGCCCAAGUAUUUCCUCUCCAUCCUUAAGGUUUGCAUUACUUAAGUAUUUGCUGGCUGGAGACACGUCUCCAUGUACCUCUGCUUUAACAAAACUGGAUGUAUUAAGCUCUUUUAACCCUUCUCUAUAAAACCACUCUUCCAGAUAAUUCUUUCUGUUGCUCCUUAAAUUGCUUCAUUUGCCUCCAUGUUAUGAUGGAUGACACAGAAACAAUGCACAUACCAGCACUGAGUCUGCUAGGGAAAAGUUGUCAUUUUGGAAAAGUUUCAAUAAGCUUGAGCUGCCAGAAUGACUUUGCAUCACAUCAGUGCUCUGCAUCACUUGGCUGUGUUUUUGAGCACCCUAAAACAGGGUUUACUACCCAGUGGAUCUGUGGUGUGUCUUUUACUUGCUGAUACUGGACCUGUGUGCUGAAGGCAACCCUGCAUUGAGCACUAGUGGCUCAGGACUCUCCUGCUGUUUCAUUUUCUGUGCCAGCUUCAAGUCAUUGGAGGGCUUUGUUUCCAACAUUCGUAGCAUCGUAAAACUUUUGCAUGAAGAAAACAGAGGAGAUAUGAUAUAUUUGGAUUUUAAUAUUUCAGGAUUGUCUACAAGAUUUAUUUUCAGCAAACCCUGGUUACUUUUUACUCAGUGAAUAUUUUCAAGAUAAACGGGGGUAAAUUUGGGGGGUUUUAUUAUUUGUUUUACUUUGAUUUUCUGUUUGCUUAACCACUCAUCAUCAUAUGCUUUUUGUUAACCCAGUAGGAAAAAAUAUCCUCAAUUUCUGUAAGAAUUUUACAUUUUAGGAAUUAAAUGUAACAAUCCACAAGUUACUUUCUCAGAGAAAGGGAUGAUGACUUUUGAUUGGGCUUGUAAUUUAGGAUACACCUUUGCCCAGUGAGAGCCUGCUUUCAGCUUUGCCAUGUGGUUUACCAGUUCCCUCUAAUAAAAGCAAGGAUGCAGUAUUUUGCUGGCAAUAGUGCUAUCUGUAGUAUCACUACUGUGAGCUGCAGUGUGAACUUCUGCUGUGGAUACAUGCCUGGAAAGAUGCAUGAAAUAAGUACUGGCCUCAUUCAUUUGACCAUCACUUCAGGUUUCCCUACAUCAGUGUCAUGCAAUUGCCAUAUAAUUGUCCCUCUCUCCUGCUGUGAUCCUGGCACCAGGCAGAGUGGACUGAUCCGAUCUUGGGUGACCUAAUUAGUUGUGAUCAGCAUACAGGUUUGAUAUAUGAAAGGUGAAACCACGGAGGAGGCUGGCUAGAAAUGGGUGUUGUGUGGCUGUAGUAUAGUUCUAUGACGUGAAUGACAGACCAGUGUUACUUGACCUAAUGCAUUUGCAGUAUCCUUAUGCCCUGUCCCAUUCAGUGUUGUGCACUGGGUCAUAGAGAACUUGGGGGAUAGGACACAAAGGUCUCAAUCCCACCACAACCACCAGGUUAGCUUUGUGUGUAAGAGUACUGCCAGUGAAGGGAACUGCUCCUGUUCGCCCAUAUGUUGUUUAGAUUCCUUGCUAGUAUGCUCCAGACUUUCCAGAUUCAUUCCCCGAGGGUGCAGCAAUUCAGCCCUAUUUUGCUGUCAGCACAGUAUUACUGCCUCCUCCAAUGUUUGGCAACCUGGCAGUUUCUGGUGUAAUGGAUAGAUAUUUUGGUGUGACAGCAAGGUGUGUGAUAUUUAUUCUACCCAUACUCCACAUUAAUUCAGCAAAGCUGGAACUUCCUAACACGGCGCUUCUCUCAACCAUAGUCUGGUAGAAAUCCAAGACUGCUGACAUGGUAUAGUGUGGUAUGGUAUACCCACAGAAUCAUGCUGGGUAUCUGUGUAUCUGCUCAUUUUGUGGUAAAUCCCAUGUGUUCAAUUUUCUGCUUUUAGAGGAGGCAUCUCAUGCUGAAGCAUCCAUGACUGCAGAAUGAAUCCACUGAUUGAUUAGAAAGACAGAGAAAGGAGGAAGAAAUAGAAAAGGAAUGGGCCUGAACAAAGAAUAGAGGAACCAAUACCUUGUUCUGCCCAAAGAUACACAGAACUGUAUCCUUAUGUUCCUAUAGGUUUUCUGAGUGUUGAAACUUCAUUGAAAACCUGUUCUUUCAGUUAAAUGGGAUUCUACCAAAAAUGGUGAUAAACUCAGCUAUCUGUAUCUUUUCUGAUGAGAACAUCCAACUGCAUUGCAAUGAUGUGCCAGUGCCAAAGUGUUUCUGUGUGUAGGUGAAAAGAUGUUAAUUAAUACUCAGACUGGUGAGGUGCAACUGAUUUUCAUGGCAAUUUUAAAAUCAUCAGUAUGUUGAUUGUUUAUCCAGUUGUCUCCAUGCAGAUUCAGAAGCUCAGCCACAGACACCUCCAUCUGAAAUUCUUGGCCAGAGUUUAUUCAGUCCCAGAUUACCACCAAUGCAUGUGGAACCUAUGUCAUAAGGAGGCAUUUUUUAUGAGGUGCUGUUAAUUUCAAUGCACAAGCUGAACAGAACAAUAGAGGAAGCACGCAAAGGGGGCACACAUCAGCCACUGUGGUUUCUGGUUCAUGCCUGGGCCCCUGAUCCUCAAAGAAGGAGACCAAUGUCAGAGACAUCUGCACAUGGAGAUCAACUUGCAGGAUGAGGCAGGGUGAAAUUCUGGUGGUAGAAUUUGAUUAAUUGCCUUACGAUUUGAAAACAGUUCCAUCUGUUUCUUCCUGCUUUCUGUGCAUGUGGUGUGUCUUCUCUGUCUUUAAAAUCUCUCUUCUGGAAGAGCUUGAGGAGUUUGAUGAUUAGCUUCUUCUCAUUGCCCUUCAGACAGCUCUAGAUAUUUUCUCCAUCUUAACUCAGUUAUAUGCUCUAUGAUAUGAAGUAUGAGUAAGGGGAUGUCUGGAUUUUCCUGUCCUUUCAGGUAGCCUAUGUUAACAUUAGUACUGUCAUUCUGUGUACAGCUUCUCUGAUAUGCACUUCUCUUUUGCUCUUUGGUUUUCUCUUUCAUUUCUAUUUCUGGGUUGGAUUGUAUAAAUGAUGGCUCUUCACUGUUGUGACUUCCCCUUUGCUGCUGUGGGUUAAGCGUCUCUUUCAGUUCUGCAUGUAAAAGAGAAAAAAAAAGAUGAGACCAAAGGCUCUUAUGGUGCAGCUUUGUAGGUUUAGAAAGACCUUCCCUGAUAUUUUAUUGCUGUGGACUGAUUGACAUCACUUUAGCAUGCCUCCAAGUGUCUAUUAGCUCAUCUCUCACACUGAGAAGUAAAGGCUCCCAAGAAGCACUACAGAGAUAUUUAUCGGUGAGGGUUAGCCCCAGUAUAGACUGUACUAGUAUGAUCAUUCAAGGCUGUAUUCCCUCAGCUUCCAUGUUUGUUCGUGAUCGCUUCAUUUUCUUUUAAAAUUUGCUGUGCAGUAUUUUUUUGUGCUAUAAGGCUCUGGGGGAAACAGAGAAGAUGAGGUACAGAGCUCGUAAGUGUUGUCUCCUCUCUUUCGCUCUUCAGAGGAGAUACCAGAUCUGUCAGGGCAGAAAAAAAAGAGAAGUGGCACUGGCUGAGCAGGACAGGAGUAACACAGCUCCUGCCAGAUGCUUAAGUAACAGCAUGGGGCUGAGCAGUUCUGCAAAUGGGAUAUAGCCAGUACUUUAGGAAUUUGCUGCAGUUCCCAAUGCCAGCUCAUUCUAACUGGGCUAGCAUGUUGUACUGUCCUGUAAAAUUUUAUCUAGUGUCUAUCAAAUCCCAGUCUGCGUAAGUUGAAAUAUGGCUAAGUAUGAGAUAUCGCAGUCUUUUAUUAUACACUAGAGUACAAAAAGAUUCAAAAGAUGAAGUGCUGCCUUGGAUGAGGCGCUGUAGUAGGUUGGAGGGCUAAGGAAGCCUGAGUUGAGGCUCCUGAGUAACUAGUUGAUUUUCUUGAAGAAAUUUGUUUUUAAUAAGAACCUGCUGCUCUCCUUCCAGGUGCUGCUUUCCCAUCAGCAACACAAGAGCUGUCAGCGUUGCCUGUCCAAACUGAGGUAUAGAUGCCUGGGCAUACAUCAGGGUGGAGGUGGAAUUUUGUUAACAGAGAGAACUAAGAACCCAGAGAAGACAGAGCAUUUGGGAACUGAUGCCCUCUCUGGAAUAUUAAAAGACCUUCUACAUACCUCAGGGGUUAUGUCUAGAUGGAUGAGUGUGGAGAGUUGCUUGCCUGCUCCUAUACUUUGAGCUACCAGGCUGCAGGCCAGCUCUGAUAUGAAAACUGAAACCACAGCAUUGUGACACUGUGCUUGUAUUUACCAUAACUGUUCUCUCUGCAGGACUUAUCAACACAGCUCUGAGCUUUUGGUAAGUGCAGUUACCUGAUACACAGACCAGUCUGGAUAACAUCCAUCUGGCUCAGACUGUAAGCAGCUGCAUGCACCACCCUGCACGGGCACUUUUCGUGAGUUGCAGUAGUCAGCUCCCACACAGCUACUGCAGCAGUCGUACACAGAUACAGUGAGUUGCUAGUCACUGUGCAGUGGAAGCAAACUGUUCCUGUGACAACAACACUCUUAGCAUAUAAUUUCAUGUUUCAUAGUAUAUAAUCCCUUUGAAUUGUUCAAGUAAAAUGUAAAAAUGACAAUAUAUUGAAACCAAAUGAAGAAAAAAUUAAAACCAGAGCAGCUCUAAACUGACAUAUUUAAAAUUACUUUGAAAUGAAAUUAAGCUUUUCAAUAACAAAUGGGUUUCUUGUGGCUCCAAAACAAACAGUAAGGAAUGAAAUACAGACUUAUAUGUGCAUAAAUGAUUUAGGUGGCGAAUGGGGAAGAGAUGGUCAUAGAGGGCUGAGCUGAAGAAAGUACAUUUGCAAGUUCCUGAAAAACCCAUGUAGGAGAGAGUUCCACAGAAAAACUGAAUACUAUGACUCAGCUUGAUCCAGAUAAGGUUUUCAUAGGGGAAUAAAAGGCAAAACCUUUGAUCUUGGUUGCUGUGAUAGAAAAUUGAGUAAUAAAUUAUGGUUCUGUUAAUGUCUUAAUCAUAGCUUAUACAUAAUUUUCUCUUGCCAACAUUCCUUUGCUUCUAGUUGUACUUUGACACAGCAUGAUUGCAUGAGUGUCUCAAGUAAACUCAAUAGCUCUUCCAGGAGGAGGCCUGACUCCUUGUAGCCCACCAAAGCUGGAUGUGUCAGAAGAAAGGGACUGGAUGAAAAGCAGCCAAGGGGACUUUCUGGCUGGGGAUUGUGUAGCUAGCCAUCAGCCUGCUUUCAUGGAAACACUAAUAAGAGAAACAUCCCCAGGGAACCCUGUGGGCAAAUGUCAUCAGAUGGAUCUAGGGAGUUCAGCUUCUUCCUUAAGCAACAUCUGCUGGUAUUGGAAGUAUCCAGAAAGCCACACCACACUUAAAAAUUAAACAAAACAAAAAACAAUCUGCAACAGGAAGAACAACCCAAGGUAAGUUAGCUGCAAAAAUCUGCACUUUAACAUAAAAGCUUCAUGAAAAUGUUGCGUAGCAGCAGUCAUGCCAGAUAGAGAUGAUUCAGUAUCAUAAUUGAGUCUGAGCUGAAUGAGAUCUGGUCAUGUCCAGAACUUUCAAGUAUUAAACUCUUGAUCCUGCUCAAAACAUGAUUAUUUACUAUGCCUUCUGGUUUACCUGCACAUCGCUCCUAAAGUAUAGGGAAAUCAAAUCACUUAAAAAUUUUGGUAAGUGAAGCUUUCUUGGAUUCUUGUGUUAGAGUCUUGUGAACUAGUUAAAGGCAGAAAACAGAUACAAAAUGGGUACAUUGAUCGAACGGCAGGAAGAGGGAAUACCAAGGCUUUGAAUAGAAAACCUAUAAAUUUAUAAGAAAAUAUAUGAGAAAGCAUAUUUUUGAAACUAUUAUCCCUAAUAAACAAACAAACAAAAAAUGUAGUGCUACAGUGACAUUCUGUGAAAGUCUCAAUUUUGUGAUUGAAUUACUACAUUUUGUGAUUGAUAAAUAAGUUGGUGCCAUAGUGACUACCUGUAUAGAAAGCUGUGCAAGUUUCUGGAGCCCAAGUGAAAACUGAGUUAUUUAUAGUUUAACAUUCAAUUUCUUUUUAUGCUCCAUAUCUUUGAAACCAGUGUCAUUUUUAGCUCGUCAAAAUACAGAGGCACCAGUUUUGUUUUUCCAAACCUAUGUAUUUAAGGAAGGGUGUUUAAAUGGUGCUGGCAACCUUGUAUUUCUAAAUGUUAGUGUUCUGGUUUUCAUCUAAAUAAAGAAAGCAGGAUUUACAGUUGAAAAAUAAGUUUGUAGGCUCAAAAAGUACAAUCGGAAAAAAUAUGUGGAGAAACAAAAAUGCCAAUCAACAAUAUCUGUGUUAAAAUUGGACCAUAACACCUGCUGCAAUGUUACUGUUACCAGUGCAGUUGCUGUAGAAAGCAGAGUACCAGGGCCAAGUACAGAAGCAAGAGGAAUUAACUUUUAGCUACUCCAACAAGGCAGAGCCCUGUGAAUCACACUAGGAAGCAUAGAUCAAAUCCUCUUAUGUAAACAUCAUACAGGGCUGGCACUAAUCCUCCUCACGCCCGAGGAGGACUGCUGAUGUGGCAUUCUCCAAAGCACAUUUGCUUUGCGUAAUUGUGGGCAGUCGUUCUUGGGCACAGGAGGCCUAAGUGUAAGCCUUCAUAUUGUCUGCUCGGGGUGAGCAAAACUAGAUGGGGAAAAGCAAACUCUGGACAUUGCCAUGGUCUGCUAGGGCCACCUCAUACACCUCUUGUCAUCGCUGCUGUCCACAGAGACAGGACAUCCUUCCCCCAGCACACCAAUGUCUCAUGCCUGGGUCCAAGCCCAUUAAGAGCUGGGUGGCCCAUCUCAGUCCCAGGUCCUGCUGCAUCUCUGGAGUCAUGUCAUUGGUCUCCUCCUGGGUUUCCCAGCAGCUGUCUGCUUCAGUGCAGAAUGCUGAGGACUCAUCUCCUGUUUCUCACCAAUGUUUAACUUGCUGAAUCAGAACUCCAUGAAAUGAUUCAGACCUGGUUUCUGGUGACUAAUACUGGGCACUCCCUUCCUCCUAGGCAGUGGUAGCUCCUCAGUGCUCCCAAGCCCUGUUCAGCCAGGCAGCUACAAGAUUGGAGACCAAAUGUGUUGCUGUCCCACUGAACAAGUGGUGGCUGGUUUUUGUUUAUACAGCAAUGCGAAUUUUUAGUCUGAACUUAUUUUUUUUCUUUUCGGUCUGUGCAGCUUUAUGAUCAAACAGUAUAAUCCCUGCACGCACGGAUCCUAUAGUUUAUAGAGCUGGUCUUGAAGAAAGUCUGGGUGGGGUACUGUGAAAUUCCUGUUGUUGCUUUUUUCAUUCAUCUGGGAUCAGGUGUGGAAUAAAGUAAAUAUCUUAGGAUGAAGACUUUAUUACAGGCAUAGUUUUAUCUAUGUAAAGCUUUCUUCUACCAUGUUAUUUUUUUAUUCACACAAAGAAGUCUAAAACUUAGAGGAGCACUUUGAGUAAGAGCUCUGGCCCAACUUCAUUUUGCCUCUCCUUACCCAUCAAACACAAAAAAGUGUAAUAUCAUACAAACACAGCAAUUUCCCACACAGAGAACCAUACAGCAUCACUGCCAGGUGCUCUCUGCAACUUUUCCCUAUUUUGUUCAGCAAGAAUUUGAAAGCAUUAGCAGUUUGAUCACUAUUGUAAUUUCCAUGGUUGCAGGAAGCCCAGCUGUCCUUGCAGGCUCCAGCAUGAGACUGCCUGCUCAAGUCUGGGAAAUACCCCACAUUCUUCAUUCUAGAUUAUCAGUGAGACAGAAAUGUUUGUUCUGCUGUCCAGGUCUAUCCAUCGUGUGCAAUUUGUCUCUUUAAAGUUUCCGUGCAGAAGCCACUGACAUCCCCAGAGAGUUAAACCUUCUUAGCUAAUCUUCUAAAAAAGCUUCAGAGACCUUUUGGCCUAGGCUGAAUCUUCCUCCUAUGGGUUUUCUUGGGUAUCUUCAGAUUUUGUCUCUUAAAUUAGAUAAUUUCUCAUCCUCUGAAAUAUCUCUGGUGUAUGCAUGAAUAUGAAAGGUACUCUGCAGACCUUGUGGUGGUUUGUGCUCUGUCUUAAUCUGUCAGUGUCAGUGUAACUGGAUGAUGCAGACUCCCGGUCAAAACCAAUAACACAUUCAGCUCUUGACUGCAGGAAAGUUUGCUGCUAUUUGGAAUUACAUUUCUUACAAUUAUUCCAAAGCUUUGGCUCAGUUGUUCAGGAAGCUGCUGAGUAGGAUUUUUUUAAUAGUUCCAGUAUGGGAAGUUCAAGACAAUGUAGCUGUGGUCAGGCCAUUUUCCACCACCCAAUGUAAAACCUCACAGUUAUCCACUGUGACACGAAAAAAAAAAAGCAAAGGCACAUUGUGGUAUGUCACCUGAUACUACACCCAGUUGCAUUGCUCAAAUCCUUGCAAAUUUAAGGUAAAUGGGUUAUAUUAGAGCAAUAGCUUCUAUUCUUUGUCUUCUGUGAAUAUUUCCCUAAUACCUGGGCAAAGCGGGAUAUUUCUCACUUCUUUGCCAUGACAUGCUGUGAAAUGUUUGGCUGUUGUCCUUAGAGUCUGGUAAUGUCAAUCUCUUUUUUUGUUCUUACUUAGAGCUCAACUUUUGAUGCCACAUGAGGCAGCAUCCUGACAAAGAGGAAACCCGAUGGCACAGCUGUAGUUUCAAAUACUCCAACAGGUUUACGAAGGCCACUAUUGCACGGUGGCCUAGUUUAGAACUGUCACGGGGAACAAUUAAUCUUUGUCACUCCAUACUCAUUCUAGAAGCACUUGAAGCCCAAAGAAAUCCCUGGAGCCACAUUUCUUCCUGCCAGCUCUCUGUAGAGGGGCUCAGUUCUGCUCCAGAGCACAUUUACUCGCUUCAGUAGCCCAGAACCCCUCCAGGGUUGCUACAUGAAGGCAAUUCCCAGUACAGUAGCAAUAGAAAUACCAAUCACACAACAUAAUCCACUGAGUUUUCACACACCCUGAAGCUGAUGGAUGAUGAAUUUCUUUUGGCCUUUGCAUUAGCCGGUCAUUAGUAGCUCCUGGUGUUAUUCAGGCAGUACAUUUCCUUCCCCUUCAGCCUCCUAAGUAUUUUCCAUGGAUCAUAUUUUCACCAAAUCACAACUCUUCAGCUGUUAAUUUCUGCAGAGAGCCUGGACAGCUCUUCACAUGUGUCGCUCCAGUUGUUGGGUGCCGACAUCUCUGUAGCUCCUGCUUUCCUGGAUGCAGCUUCCCUCUAUUUGGGCAACUCCAUCUCCUUUGGCCUUUGUCUCUACAUCAUCUGCGAAUACCACCUGGCCCAGGUGUCCCUAAGAAACAGAUUCUUUCACCUGACCCAUGGGAUGCCUAUGAAUGCAUUGCAGUUGGGCCUUUUCCAACUAUUUAGUCACUUCACUAGAAAUGUUUCCUUGAAAUGCGGCAUCUGGUCUAAAUGACUCACCCUGAGGCUGGGAAUUCACAGCUGAUACCUUUAAAAAACACCCUAAAUUUCUGUCUCUGUUUAUAGCUCUGUCAGAAGCCUGUUCAUGGCAUUAUCAGUGAUGUUAUUUUCCACAGCUGACAAAGUAUGUUACCUUUCUGCAAACUCUUUUCAAAGUAAAUGUUAAUACAAAAGUUUCUAGUCUCCCACUGGGCACACAAUCUGCCUGUAUUACUCAUUCCAAAUUCAAUACACAAAGUUCAGCCUCAUCAAAACUGUCUUCUGACCAGAAGCAAAGGGAAACCCCCAGCAAAAGCUUCCUCAAUGCAAAUAACCGCCCCUGUGGAGGUUGCCCUUUUGCUGCUCUUCUGUUUGCUGUUUAAUCGGCAUUUCCAAGGAGCCAAAUUUCUGCUUUUUUCCUUCCUGCAAGAAACAGAAAAGAUUUAUAAGGCUCUGCUUUGCAAGAUGCACGGCCUACAUAUUAAAAAUUGUGACAAAAGAUUUUGGCCUUGACAUCCAGAAGCGCUGUUAAGAUGCUGUCCUGCUUUAUCUUUCCCUUCAGAGAGUAUUAGCUUAGUGACUGGAAAGCCCCCCUACUCAAGGCCAACAAACUUCUUUUUAGAAGUACUUUUUCUGUUUUGUGCCCACUGCCUUAAGUGCAAAGUACACAAUGGCUACCAGGGAAAAGCCCAGCAUGGAGAGCAGCACUACCCUCCUUUACUGCUUCUGGCUCAGAGGCAGCAAUUAGGGUAUAAAGCUGGAUAACGUGUUAUUAAUUAAAUACAGCUCCAUCACUUGGAGGAAGUGCUGUCUGCCCUAAGAAGUUCAAACUACUUAUUCCCUCAGCUGCCUAGGCACUGGGUGUUGCAACCUAGAGGCAGCUGAGUUGCUAGAAAGUUAAUGGUUGAAUUAAAGACCUGCUCAGGUUUUUGCGAGGAAGGCCUAAGUCAAGUCAAGGCAAUGAUGGGACACUCAGAAGACUCUUCUGAACCUGAAUCUGGCCCUUAAACUGGGAGCUAUCCCUGCAGACUCCUACUUUUAGGUGACCAGACUUGCUGCUAAUAUACUUUUCUUGAUAAAUGAAUGGCAACUAAGGCAAUUUGCCAAACUGUCUUGUCCUCUUUCUUAGAGUGAGAGAAUCACUCACACCUCUGCCAGUUUGUUUACUGUGUGGUCAAAGAUUUGUAGCGUGAUCAAAGGCACUGAUCCAGGUGGGUUACCAAUACUUUUGCAAUAAAAUAAAGGCUAGAAUAAUUUCUUACUGUGGCAGUAAAGUCUCACUUAACUUUAUAAGCUCUUUAAUGUAGAAUGACUUUCAUAUAAUACAACAGCUGAUGUGUAAAGAUAAACAGCAUUAUUUUAUUUUUUCUGUGACUCAUUUGACAUCAGUCCACAUUUAUUCAUACGUUGUGGAGCAUAAUGAUAGGUAGAAAAUUUAUUUUAGUUACCAAGCAAAUGAAUAUUUUAGUUCAUUUAAUUUAUAGUGUAUAUCUAUCUUUGUAGUAAAAUGUAGACAUUUGAGGCCAAAGUCUUGUCUGAGGCCCAUGGCUUGUGAUCUCAGAUUUGUAGGCAGCAGACAGCUUUUUUUAUUGCUUUUUGUCUAUGGGAGAACUAGAGUUAGUAAUGCUGGUAAAAUAGCAGCUGCUGAACUUUAUUUCCAUAUGAUCUAGCAAUUAUAGCACAUACCAUCACCUGAUAACUUAGUUGUUAUUUUUUACAGUCCUCACUCUGGUGGUUUCAGAUAUUUGAAUUCUUUCUCCUUCUCCCAGUGUAUCAGAUGGCUCUAAACAGUUGGUGUGGUCCAAGAGACCCAAUACAGAAAGCUCUGCUUUUUUUCUUCUCUUCAUGGGGAAAUUGCUUAGUAAGCAGUGCCUUCAGGGCUCAUGAAUAGAAAUACUGGCUGCAUGUCCAAGACUCCUGUCUCUGUGCCUAUCUCCUUGCUCAAGGAAGGCCAGUUUUCUUAAUUUUUUUCCAUCAUUCUGAGUGUGAGCGUUAUUGAUCCCCUGUUGCCAAAGAUAUCCAAGAUCUGUCCAGCCAUCUGCUAUACCCCUAAGACUGUGAUGCUGCACCUCCCAUCUCUGUGAUGGAACUUUGGCAGCCUGUGGUCCCAUCACACCUGGUUAUCCUACUGCCUUCAACUUACCUAGCAUAUUGUAAACUUUUUAUUAUCAGUAAAGACUCUGACAAAAGAGGAACCCAGGAAGUUAUACAAGUUAAAAAUUACUCAAUUAUAAAAGCACUUAUCUUCUAAAGUGAUCAAGAGAUCAGUCAUGGACUAUUCCUCUUACUCUUUCUUCCAGCUACUAGACACUUCCACAAAUACUAUAUAAAACCAAUAAGCAGCUAAAUGCUGUAUGAUGCUGAAGAAUUUAUAUAAGCCUGUUUCAGUUCUGCAAUGUGUGCCAUUCCUAUGAAUCCAGGCAUGAAGAGCAAAAACACCUGUAUUUUAAAAAUGCUAAAAGAAAUUACUUAAAUACAGCUAUUGGAAGUGGAGCAAAGGAUGCCAGCUUCAACAGGAAAUCGACUUUUCUGGGUGUUCACAAAGUUGUGCUUUCUGCUCGUCUUACUUUGUUGAUUUUCUGUAUCUCCAUGGUCCCACCACUUUUUGUACUUGACUGCUGAACAGCUUUUGGUCAUGGGCUUCUUUUGACUAAACAGACACAGCUGAAGUUUCCAUGCUGCCUGAAUUCUUUAAUUGGAAAAGACUCAAGACAAAUAUGAGAGGCCACCAGAUUCCUUCCUGUCAUCUGUAAGUAAUUUUCAAAGACUACAGAGAACGUUGUAGACAAGUCAAGUUUUUAGUAAUCUCAGAAGGAGAGAGGGAAUAUCCUAAAGUAAAUACCAAGUAGUAUAUGUUGUCUGUCCUGGGAGGCCAACAUGCCAAUCUAACUGAAAAUAUGCUCUUCAUUAGAAAACUGCUUGCAGCUUUAAUCAGCUUUAGCUGAUUUUUUUUCAGAGUAACAUAUUUACCAAGGUGCAGGGCAACCUUGAGUAUAACAUGACCUCUCACUCUGUUUUAGUAGGAAAAAAAAUCAAAUAUCAUUUUGUGCUGAAAAUUCCCUUAAUUAUCAUUGCAACACACAACAGACCUACUUCUGACAAGCCAUCCCUAAUGCCUUAUGGAGUUAGGAGAAUUAAUGUGAAACAGGAAGUAUCUGGAUUGUAAGGGCUGGGCUUGUUCUCAGACAAGACAGUCAGUGGUUCCAUGUGAAGUCAAGAAAAAAUCAGCAAAUAAAAGUUGUACCUCUUUAAAUCUUGAAGGAUAUUUACAGGAGAAUUUCUGGAGAGGAGUGUACAGAAAUGACAGUAAAGACUUCUUCAGUAAA